Molecule: long non-coding RNA, 331 nt
Filed under: Lathyrus oleraceus (garden pea)
Lineage: Eukaryota; Viridiplantae; Streptophyta; Magnoliopsida; Fabales; Fabaceae
Description: Pisum sativum (pea) long non-coding RNA (PSAT_LNC015710)
Source: RNAcentral
AAGUUUUCACCCCAUCAACACCCAAGAUCCAUUGAGUUUGAUGAGACUCAUGAUCCAAACCAUCAUCAUCCAAGGCCAACAGAAGUUCACAAAGGUCACACAAAUAUAAAAUCCAUUUAAAUGAAAUAAAAGUUCACCAAAAGUAUUUUUAAAUAAAUUAAAAAAUAGAAAUAAAAUGAAAAAUCUAUAAAGUCCUUCAAAACACCAAAUAAAUGGCCAAGAAAAUUAUGGAGGUUGGAAAUAAAAUAAGAAGCAUGUAAUAAAUUUUUCAAGAUUAAAAAAUAUAGAAAAGUAUUUUUAAAUCAAUUAAAACAAAGGAGAAAAGAAAAAA